Non-coding RNA from Camellia sinensis, 1877 nucleotides. NCBI's taxonomy places the organism in Eukaryota, Viridiplantae, Streptophyta, Magnoliopsida, Ericales, Theaceae. The record is from RefSeq and is a predicted model, not a curated record.
CUCAUACAUUUUUCUAAACAAAAUUAUAAAGCAUCGUGUAAAGUGAAAUUUUUUGAACUGGGGGUUUGGGGUUCGGGUUGCACCGACUCCAUAUAAAAUGCCCUAAAAAUUUAAGGGUUCACGUUCACGUAUCAGUGACAGCAGCCGGCGGCGAGAGCAAUCUGCACUACGUUCGGUUUCGCUAUUCCGGCAAUAUCUUUCAUACUUUACCUCUUUGAAGAUGCAAGUGAUGACGUGGAGGAGAGCAUAAUGUGGCUUCGUUUCUCCACAUUAGAGGCUUGUCCACAUUGUUUGAGUUUCACUUGUUAAACAUUUCAAACUUUCAGGACUAGGGCAGUGUUACAUGAACUGUGAAUCAAGUGAAUCUGUUUUCAAUUGUAUGGUGUAGGAUAUUUCCUUGGUGUUGAUUUUUGGGUAGUGUUUGCUUGUUAUUUGGCAAACACACAUAGAAUUGCUUUGAUUGUUUGGUUGUCUAAAGUUGUUUUACAUGAACUGUGAAUCAAGUGAAUCUGUUUUCAAUUGUAUGGUGUAGGAUAUUUCCUUGGUGUUGAUAUUUGGGUAGUGUUUGCUUGUUAUUUGGCAAACAAACAUAGAAUUGCUUUGAUUGUUUGGUUGUCUAAAGUUGUUUCUCUAGAUCUAAUGAAACAAUGUUUCACUUCACUCCAGUGUUUCACUUUUUUAUCGUAGAUUUAUACUGCUGCUAAUGAUUAUCUGUCAGAUUGAUUAAUUUUAAUGCUGUAGAAAAAAUGUGGCAGACUCAUUCCAAAUGUUAAUGUGAAUGUUAAACCAUGUUAAGUACCAUGAAGUGAUUCAAUUUGCAUGGGAUGUUUAAAUGACUAGUUAGCGUCAGGUACUUUGACUUUCCUUCCAUUUUUUUUAUUGUCUCUAUUUCUUUCUUUUUAGCAUUUUGGGUUAGAAGGUGUUUUAAAUUAAGCAAAACUGAUGUUGUUUUUGAAAUUAAUUUUUUCCAAAAAAUUGCUUUCUCAACUCUCCUUAAAAAAAUUUGUGUACCUUGAUUAGAUGCCCCCAAGCAAGAUUACAGAAACCAAGGUUUUCUACCCAACGAUAUUGGAAGUUCUCCUUUUCAGGUAGUCAUGGAACAAGUGCCAUUGAUUCAUAUAGUACUGGCUUUAACGAUCUGGAAUUGGGUUCCAUGGUUCCUUCAGAGAUGACACUGCCGACCUGUUGGGCUCAGAAACAACCGCUGUGACUCUUGGAUGAUCAAGUUUUGGCUUUAUUUAUUGAGGUCUCAGAGCAGACCUAUAUGGCAUUCACGAUGGAAAAGUUAUUGAGCUUUCUGCAGGGUGGAUUGAGUAUGGCUGGACAGAUGCUUCUGUUGUUGGGAGCUCAUUGAAGUGGAAUCAUGGUGAAAAAUAUUGCUCUAGCAUUUAAAGUUUAUAUUGUGAUUAGGAGACUAUCAAACAUGCUGGUGUUUCCCUUACUCGAAGAACUUGGAAGAGAAGACAUUUAAACCUGCAGCACAUCAAAAUUGUCAUGAAAGUUUGCAUGAGGCUUGGGAAAUUGAAAAUUGUGGAGGGUCUUUUCAGUGGUUGCCAGCAAUUUUGGGCAUGGUCCAAAAUUAGUGAUCCAGGUUUCUCUAUGACUUACUACAUCCACUGGUGUACUUGGUUUGCUGUGUGCAUUAUUCCUGGGAGGGUGCCAAUGUGCAAGGAGGUGAAGAUGGCAGGAUUCAUGUUGUAUUUAUACAUAAGGCCACGGUUGUUGAAAUUAUGAAGAUAAAUAGAUUAGGCGUGUAGUUCUCUGAUGUUGUCCAUGUUAUUUGUAUGCACAGUAGUCAAAAUUUACCCUCCAUCAUUUCUUUUUUAAUCUCUUGAAUUGAUAAUUUGAUAUAUGAAUUGGUAUUUGUUUUUUGUUUA